RNAcentral lists this long non-coding RNA (789 nucleotides) under Olea europaea subsp. europaea. The record is from RNAcentral. Lineage: Eukaryota; Viridiplantae; Streptophyta; Magnoliopsida; Lamiales; Oleaceae.
CAAAAAAUGUAUAAGGAACACUACAAAAAAGGGGGCUCUAACAACCAAUCAAAUGUGGUUGCUAUAGGACACUAUCACCGUGGAGUGUCCAAAAUUUGUUGUAUCAAUAUUUUUUUUUUAAACCCAACUGCACGUAUUCAAAUCAACUUCAUCUUCAUCUUCAUCAUAUACAUUCUCCUCCACGGCUGCAGACUCCCUCGGCUGGUGGCUCUACAAUCUCAACUUUUCCAAAACUCAACCGUCGACGACAGAUUCCACAGUCACGCAUCCUCUAGUCGAUUUUCGUAAUCAUUGGUAAGUAAUUUAUUUUACCCAAAUACGCCAGCAACGAGAUGGCAUGCAGCUUCUGUUCAGUUAUUAAUUCGAGUUUUUGUUUUGUGAGAUUCAAAAAGGUAUUAAUUCGUUUUAUUAAUUUCAUUUUCUACGAGCUAUCAGUCAUAUUCUAUCAUGGCAUGCUGCUUCUGUUCUGUUAUGAAUUCGAUUUCUUGUUUUGGGUGAGAUUCAAAAAUCAAAAUGGGUACUAAUUCGUUAUUAAUUCCGUUUUCUACGAGUAUCAGACUAUCAGUCAUAUUCUAUGUCACCAAACUUGGAAGAUAUCUGAUUUAUUUGUGUAAAAUCAUGCUUUAAUCUAUUGGGUUUUUAUGUUAAUCUUUCUACGAAUACCAGACUAUCAGUCAUAUUCUAUGUGAAAUCAUGCCUCGAAACCGCUAGACGAGUUAUAUUUAAGUGAUCUUCUAGAACAUUUUUCACAUUGUUAUUUGAUUUCAUUUUCUUUGUUUUAUUUUUGAU